This 405-nucleotide ribosomal RNA is filed under the name uncultured bacterium. RNAcentral's name for it is "partial 16S ribosomal RNA". It matches the Rfam family "Bacterial small subunit ribosomal RNA", at positions 30 to 526 of the family's 1533-position model. The record is from RNAcentral.
AUUGAACGCUAGCGGGAUGCUUUACACAUGCAAGUCGACCGAGUGGCGGACGGGUGAGUAAUAUAUCUGAACGGGAGCAGUAGAGGGGGUUAACUACUGGGAAGAAAGGCUAAUACCGCCUUCUAUAGGCGCGGCCGGAAUCGGAUUAGCUAGUUGGUGGGGUAAAGUCCCACCAAGGCCACGAUCCGUAGCUGGUGUGAGAGGACGACCAGCCACACUGGGACUGAGACACGGCCCAGACUCCUACGGGAGGCAGCAGUGGGGAAUUUUGGACAAUGGGGGAAACCCUGAUCCAGCCAUCCCGCGUGUAUGAGAAGGCCUUCGGGUUGUAAAGUACUUUUGGCAGAGAAGCGGUAUCUGCAGAAUAAGCACCGGCUAACUACGUGCCAGCAGCCGCGGUAAUUC